RNAcentral lists this ribosomal RNA (253 nucleotides) under uncultured bacterium. RNAcentral's name for it is "partial 16S ribosomal RNA". It matches the Rfam family "Bacterial small subunit ribosomal RNA", at positions 524 to 776 of the family's 1533-position model. The record is from RNAcentral.
UACGUAGGGUGCGAGCGUUGUCCGGAAUUAUUGGGCGUAAAGGGCUCGUAGGCGGUCUGUCGCGUCGAAAGUGAAAACCCAGGGCUUAACCCUGGGCCUGCUUCCGAUACGGGCAGACUAGAGGUAUGCAGGGGAGAACGGAAUUCCUGGUGUAGCGGUGAAAUGCGUAGAGAUCAGGAGGAACACCCAUGGCGAAGGCAGCUCUCUGGUCGACAUCUGACGCUGAGACGCGAAAGCGUGGGGAGCGAACGGG